CCCUCAUUCAUCUCUCUCUCUCUCUAUAUAUAUAUAUAACAAAUUCGUCGCAACCUCAUCACUCAAUACUUCCUUCAGCCUCCCCUUUCAUUUCCAAAAUUUCUUACAUUUUUUUUUACUCAGUCAAGAUAUAUUUUUUCUACUUUCAUCUUAUUAAAUCUCAACUCAUGGAAGAUUUCGCAGUGGAAAAAUCCAAAUUGAAAAGCAAGUUCAGCUUCUUGACUGGAAUCGGGUUCCUCGAUCCAGCCAAAAUUUUACUCAAAACCUUGCGAUAUCGAAUUCUCCAGCAUCACUCGUCUGAGAUUCUUGCUUUUGGAUUCUCAGGCCCUUCUUAUUGCUGUUUGGAAAUGGAACAAGGUGCUACUCAUGCAAAAGAGGGUCAAAUGCUUCCAAAGCAAUAAAGCAUCGGACAAGGUCAAGACCCAGAAUGAAAAGAAUGAGCAAAAAGAAGAAAAACUACACGGGAGAGAGAAAUUUGAUGAACAAAAUAAAAGAUGUACAAUUAUUUAGGCUAUUGGUAAAUGAUGAUUUGUGUUAAGAGUGGGCAUCAUAGACUGCAGAACUGAUUGAUCUCAAGCCCAAACAAAAUUGAAUGAUAUAAAACUAGGUCGAAUAGAAUGCAAAACUUACUAAUGUUUAAUGUGGUAGAGAUUAAUUCAAAUUCAAAUAGAAAAUAAAAGUGAAUGUGACCUUAAAAUUUAAAAAGUCAAAUUUAAGAAUUCAGAAAAAAGAUUAAAAAAAGUUGUGUUUGAUAAAUUCAAGUGAUAAUGAAAUGGAUUUAAUUAAGAAAAAAAACUAAAUGGGUUGCCAUUUUCUUUAGAAGAUAAAUGAGGAAAACAUUCAGGAGCUUUUAAAAUGGAUACCAUUAUCAAAUACUAGUGUAGGUGCAGAAUUACCAAAUGGAAAUCAUCUCUCACCUAAUUCAUGAAUUUGGUGAUCUAAACUGUUUAAAACAACAAGCAAGAGCCCUAAAAUGGCCAACAGUAUGUACAAAACAAUGGAAAGAAAAAUAUUCCAUCGUCAUAAAGUUUUAAGGCUUGCUGUAAGGAAUGAACCAAAACUUAAAAAGUUUUAUCAUGGAUGCCAAAUAUCAAUCAAUCAUGUCUUUCAAAGAUCAUCCAAACUAAUGACGGUAUCAUUAGAGUAAUUGAUGUCUAACUGAGCGGUUUC
Molecule: long non-coding RNA, 1170 nt
Organism: Cucumis melo (muskmelon)
Lineage: Eukaryota; Viridiplantae; Streptophyta; Magnoliopsida; Cucurbitales; Cucurbitaceae
Exons: 2
Source: RefSeq, a predicted model, not a curated record